ACACGACUACAUUAGAUACCCCCGUAGUCCAGGGUGUAAACGCUGCGGGCUUGGUGUUGGGGGUCCUUUGAGGGCGCCCAGUGCCGGAGAGAAGUUGUUAAGCCUGCCGCCUGGGAAGUACGGUCGCAAGGCUGAAACUUAAAGGAAUUGGCGGGGGAGCACCACAACGGGUGGAGCGUGCGGUUUAAUUGGAUUCAACACCGUAAAACUCACCAGGGAAGACUGUUACAUGAAAGCCGAGAUGAAGACUCUGCUAGAUUUUCAG
RNAcentral lists this ribosomal RNA (265 nucleotides) under uncultured archaeon. RNAcentral's name for it is "partial 16S ribosomal RNA". It matches the Rfam family "Archaeal small subunit ribosomal RNA", at positions 717 to 982 of the family's 1478-position model. The record is from RNAcentral.